AUGAUGUUAUGGGGAACAACUGUGAGGAUUUUGCUCUGUACUGCAAAACAGGUCUUCUGGUAAUGGACAAGCAGGGAGUUGGAAGAAGUGGUCAAGCUUCUUCAGUCAUUGGUGCUCCAUUAGCUGCUCUCCUGUCGUCCCCUUUAAAGUUGCUAAUGCCAAGCCCUGUUGGUGUUGCCACAGUAACAGCUGGAAUGUACUGUAUGAGCAGAUAUGCUACUGAUAUAGGUGUUCGGAGUGAUGUAAUCAAGGUUGCUGUGGAAGAUCUGUCUGUGACCCUUGGUUGGGCAGAUCAUCAUGAGGAAG
Molecule: unclassified non-coding RNA, 306 nt
Filed under: Hevea brasiliensis (rubber tree)
Lineage: Eukaryota; Viridiplantae; Streptophyta; Magnoliopsida; Malpighiales; Euphorbiaceae
Source: RNAcentral